UAGUUCCAGACAUUUAAACUGUCCGAACAGAAAAUUAGUCGUUGGAACAGUAGAAUGCACGAACUACCCAGAGUGAGGGCGUUACAAUUCUCCCCCUCUAAUAAAAAUUUUCGUCUUCGAAAUUUACUCGGUGUAAAUAGUCAAGGAACUACUUCUCCUUAGUCUGUUUUACUAGUUCUGGCCAUUAGAUCUUAUUCUCAACUAGUUUUGUAACUAUCUACUUUUAUUUCGUACAUAGGGUCUAUUAUUACAUAUACUAAAAUUUUAUAAUGAGAAAUAUACCUCUAGCAACGUCUGCCAG
Molecule: unclassified non-coding RNA, 301 nt
Filed under: Hevea brasiliensis (rubber tree)
Lineage: Eukaryota; Viridiplantae; Streptophyta; Magnoliopsida; Malpighiales; Euphorbiaceae
Source: RNAcentral